GUGAAUCCAACUCUAGCUCUCCUCAAAACAUACACUCGCUGCCCUAAGAAUGCUCCUGCACCUCUAUUGGAAAUCCCAACGCCUCCUUCUCCUUCCCCAUCUGUUGAGACACUCUUACCAACUACAUAAUCCAUUCCUUCAUCACCGUCCUUGCUUCUAUCUUCAUCCAAUCCCUCUGACCCAUCCCUAGCUCUUCCUAGCCUGCCACAACCAACCCUAA
RNAcentral lists this long non-coding RNA (220 nucleotides) under Vitis vinifera (wine grape). RNAcentral describes it as "long non-coding RNA (VVIN_LNC006851)". Lineage: Eukaryota; Viridiplantae; Streptophyta; Magnoliopsida; Vitales; Vitaceae. The record is from RNAcentral.